This is a long non-coding RNA of Lycium ferocissimum, 240 nucleotides long. RefSeq lists it as uncharacterized. The transcript has 2 exons. The record is from RefSeq and is a predicted model, not a curated record. NCBI's taxonomy places the organism in Eukaryota, Viridiplantae, Streptophyta, Magnoliopsida, Solanales, Solanaceae.
GUCUGCGUACACUCUACCCUCCCCAGACCCCACGUUGUGGGAUUUCACUGGGUAUUAACUGAUUUCUUUGUUAUAUUAUGGGUUAAAGGAUACAUAUAUUUUGAUAAAGUAAAAGGCCCGAAGAUGGUCCAGAAGAUACAUGUAAAAGAAGUGGCUACAAAUCACAGUUAAGAGGGGAUAAACAGCUAAAGAAACAAAAACUAAAAGAGGAGUAAAGAGCUCAUGAAUGGUAUGAGAUAA